UCGUGCAAUACGUCAGAGAUGGUCAUAUUUACGGGACUUAUGAUGCAUUGUACCUCAUGAGCGGUAGAGACUUGGCCAGUAUUCGGAGCAAUGGCUACGUUGACAAGAAUGUAGCAGGACUUGCGUACGUGGGCCAAGUAUGCACCAUACACGCAGUCGCCGAGGGUGAAGAUGUUGCAAGGUCAUAUGCCGGCGUUCACACAAUGGCGCAUGA
Long non-coding RNA from Rhipicephalus microplus (southern cattle tick), 214 nucleotides. The record is from RefSeq and is a predicted model, not a curated record. NCBI's taxonomy places the organism in Eukaryota, Metazoa, Arthropoda, Arachnida, Ixodida, Ixodidae.